GACGAACGCUGGCGGCGUGGAUUAGGCAUGCAAGUCGAACGGUAUCAUCCUUUCGGGGGUGAGAGAGUGGCGAACUGGUGAGUAACACGUAGGUUAUCUACCCUCAAGACGGGGACAACCCAGGGAAACUUGGGCUAAUACCGGAUGUGAGCAACUUUUAGUUGUUUGAAAGGUGGCGUAAGCUGUCGCUUGGGGAUGAGCCUGCGUCCUAUUAGUUAGUUGGUGAGGUAACGGCUCACCUAGGCAAUGAUAGGUAGGCGGCCUUAACGGGUGGUCGCCCACACUGGGAUUGAGAUACGGCCCAGACUCCUACGGGAGGCAGCAGUCGAGAAUAGUCUACAAUGGUCGGAAGACUGAUAGUGCGACGCCGCGUGAACGAUGAAUCCCUUCGGGGUUAAAGUUCUUUUAUAUGUGAGCAGUGCUUCUUAUAUUAACAGUAUGGGGAAGAGAUAUUAGCAUAUGAAUAAGCAACGGCUAACUCCGUGCCAGCAGCCGACGGUAAAUA
Molecule: ribosomal RNA, 505 nt
Filed under: uncultured bacterium
Lineage: Bacteria
Description: bacterial SSU rRNA
Rfam family: Bacterial small subunit ribosomal RNA
Source: RNAcentral